GAUGAACGCUGGCGGCGUGCCUAAUACAUGCAAGUCGAGCGAACGGACGAGAAGCUUGCUUCUCUGAUGUUAGCGGCGGACGGGUGAGUAACACGUGGAUAACCUACCUAUAAGACUUGGAUAACUUCGGGAAACCGGAGCUAAUACCGGAUAAUAUUUUGAACCGCAUGGUUCAAAAGUGAAAGACGGUCUUGCUGUCACUUAUAGAUGGACCCGCGCUGCAUUAGCUAGUUUGUAAGGUAACGGCUUACCAAGGCAACGAUGCAUAGCCGACCUGAGAGGGUGAUCGGCCACACUGGAACUGAGACACGGUCCAGACUCCUACGGGAGGCAGCAGUAGGGAAUCUUCCGCAAUGGGCGAAAGCCUGACGGAGCAACGCCGCGUGAGUGAUGAAGGUCUUCGGAUCGUAAAACUCUGUUAUUAGGGAAGAACAUAUGUGUAAGUAACUGUGCACAUCUUGACGGUACCUAAUCAGAAAGCCACGGCUAACUACGU
This 496-nucleotide ribosomal RNA is filed under the name uncultured bacterium. RNAcentral's name for it is "partial 16S ribosomal RNA". It matches the Rfam family "Bacterial small subunit ribosomal RNA", at positions 28 to 506 of the family's 1533-position model. The record is from RNAcentral.